This 253-nucleotide ribosomal RNA is filed under the name uncultured bacterium. Its description in RNAcentral is "partial 16S ribosomal RNA". It matches the Rfam family "Bacterial small subunit ribosomal RNA", at positions 524 to 776 of the family's 1533-position model. The record is from RNAcentral.
UACGUAGGGUGCGAGCGUUGUCCGGAAUUAUUGGGCGUAAAGAGCUCGUAGGCGGUCUGUUGCGUCCGCUGUGAAAACCCGGGGCUUAACCCCUGGCUUGCAGUGGAUACGGACAGACUAGAGGUAGGUAGGGGAGAAUGGAAUUCCCGGUGUAGCGGUGAAAUGCGCAGAUAUCGGGAGGAACACCGGUGGCGAAGGCGGUUCUCUGGGCCUUACCUGACGCUGAGGAGCGAAAGCGUGGGGAGCGAACAGG